GGGGGGGGGGGGGGGGGGGGGGAGGGGGGGGGGGGGGGGGGGGGGGGCGCGGCGUUUGUGGGGUGCGCGAGUGGCGAACGGGUGAGUAGCACGUGGGGAACCUGCCCGUGACUGUGGGGUGACUUCAGGCAGAUGGGGCUAAUACGGGGUAGGAGCUCCUGCUGCAGGGUUGGGGUGGGAAAGGUUCGGCGGUUGGGGAUGGACUCGCGGCUUAUCAGCUUCUUGUUGGGGUAGUGGCUUACCGAGGCUUUGACGGGUAGCCGGCCUGAGAGGGUGACCGGCCACAUUGGGCCUGAGAUACGGCCCAGACUCCUACGGGAGGCAGCAGUGGGGAAUAUUGCACAAUGGGCGGAAGCCUGAUGCAGCAACGCCGCGUGCGGGAUGACGGCCUUCGGGUUGUAAACCGCUUUCGCCUGUGACGAAGCGUGAGUGACGGUAAUGGGUAAAGAAGCACCGGCUAACUACGUG
Molecule: ribosomal RNA, 468 nt
Filed under: uncultured bacterium
Lineage: Bacteria
Description: partial 16S ribosomal RNA
Rfam family: Bacterial small subunit ribosomal RNA (bases 49-468)
Source: RNAcentral